GCUGACGAGUGGCGGACGGGUGAGUAAUGUCUGGGAAACUGCCUGAUGGAGGGGGAUAACUACUGGAAACGGUGGCUAAUACCGCAUAACGUCGCAAGACCAAAGAGGGGGACCUUCGGGCCUCUUGCCAUCAGAUGUGCCCAGAUGGGAUUAGCUGGUUGGUGAGGUAACGGCUCACCAAGGCGACGAUCCCUAGCUGGUCUGAGAGGAUGACCAGCCACACUGGAACUGAGACACGGUCCAGACUCCUACGGGAGGCAGCAGUGGGGAAUAUUGCACAAUGGGCGCAAGCCUGAUGCAGCCAUGCCGCGUGUAUGAAGAAGGCCUCGGGUUGUAAAGUACUUUCAGCGGGGAGGAAGGUGUUGUGGUUAAUAACCGCAGCAAUUGACGUUACCCGCAGAAGAAGCACCGGCUAACUCCGUGCCAGCAGCCGCGGUAAUACGGAGGGU
Molecule: ribosomal RNA, 449 nt
Filed under: Salmonella enterica subsp. enterica serovar Infantis
Lineage: Bacteria; Pseudomonadati; Pseudomonadota; Gammaproteobacteria; Enterobacterales; Enterobacteriaceae
Description: bacterial SSU rRNA
Rfam family: Bacterial small subunit ribosomal RNA
Source: RNAcentral